RNAcentral lists this ribosomal RNA (178 nucleotides) under Bacillus subtilis. RNAcentral's name for it is "Large Subunit Ribosomal RNA; lsuRNA; LSU rRNA". It matches the Rfam family "Bacterial large subunit ribosomal RNA", at positions 2748 to 2925 of the family's 2925-position model. The record is from RNAcentral. Lineage: Bacteria; Bacillati; Bacillota; Bacilli; Caryophanales; Bacillaceae.
GCUAUGUGCGGACGGGAUAAGUGCUGAAAGCAUCUAAGCAUGAAGCCCCCCUCAAGAUGAGAUUUCCCAUUCCGCAAGGAAGUAAGAUCCCUGAAAGAUGAUCAGGUUGAUAGGUCUGAGGUGGAAGUGUGGCGACACAUGGAGCUGACAGAUACUAAUCGAUCGAGGACUUAACCAC